This is a long non-coding RNA of Passer domesticus (house sparrow), 2880 nucleotides long. RefSeq lists it as uncharacterized. The record is from RefSeq and is a predicted model, not a curated record. Lineage: Eukaryota; Metazoa; Chordata; Aves; Passeriformes; Passeridae. The transcript has 4 exons.
GCAGGUUCCACCUGCAGCACAAAACCCCUCAGCUGCUCCUGGACACGGCUCUUUCCUUCCCCACGUUUUGGAGGAGCACAGGAAUUCUACAGCGUUUGUCAGCUUUCCUGAGGGCCCCAGCCCUGGACCCAGCAGUGCCAGCAGCCCCCUGGGAUGGCCCCAGCACAGCCAGCUGACUGGAACUGCAAUUGGAGCUGCAGUUGCACUGCUACUUGAAGUAGUUGUUCUGUUUGUCAUGUGUGGGAUAAGGAGACUAUCAAGUACUUACCAUAACAACUUCAGCCCCACGUGCCUCAGUACAGGUUUCGCAAGAGGGACAAAGUGAUGUUCUACGGGAGGAAGAUCAUGAGGAAGAGCUCCUGCAGGACUGACUGCAUUGCUGAUGGAGCAGCAGCAGCUUCUCGUUCUGGCCAGACCUUUCCUCCUUGAAAAAUACUUGCAGUCAAUGAGGGUAGCAAUAAAUCAAUGAGUAUCUAACUCCUGUAGGGACUUUAAAUGUCCCAGAAUCCCAGACUGGUUUGGGUUGGAAGUGACCCUAAAGACGAUCCUGUUCCACUACCCAGAUUGUUCCAAGCCCCAUCCAACCUGGCCUUGGGACACUUCCAGGGAUGGGGCAUCCACAGAUUCUCUGGACCAUCUAUUGAAUAUCUGAGAGUUGUUCUUACCUGUUAAGGUGCCUAAUUUCCCUCAAACUUUGUCUGAGAAGAUCAAAAUGCUGCUUUGACUCCCGCCCUUGGUGCCUAAAUGGAGAGAUCUGGUUAUUUUCAGCCUAGAAUGUAUUUGAGCUUGCCCAAACACCCGAGCUCUGAGCAGGGCAGCCCUGCCCAGCCAGCCCAGGGCUGCAGGGUGGGUGGCUCUGCCAGGGGCACAGUGCCUCAGCUCCCAGGGGCAGUGACAGACCAAGGGGCAAAGGCACAGGAUGCAAGGGACAGGCCCACCAGGCACAAGGAUAAAGUUCUUCAUGGGCACAGAACAGCCCUGGGACAGGGUCAGGGAUGGCAUUUCCAACCCUGGAAAUUUUCAAAGCCCAGAGCACCCCAAGGGAACUUAGAAAUCAGCUCAGCUUUAAGUGGGCAUGUUGGUAAGGGACCUAUAAAGGCUUCUCCCAGCCUAAAGCAUCUGAUUUGAACACUGAGAUGAAAAAGCUGUUUAUUGAAAUGCAGCACCAACCAACAACCCCAGGCCCACUGAGGUCCCACCAGCACAAGAGGAUUUGGGCUAGAACUUUUCCAGCAUUUCCAGAAACUCCCUUAAAAAAUCUUUUUUUAUUGGUCUGUGGCUGCCCCCUCCAACCCCAGGGGUCACAUCCUCCCCAAAGAGCUACUGAACAACCACACCAAAGUGUCAUUUCUCAGGGCAGACACCUGGGUACAUAAAAAAGAAGUGGAAAUUCACUUUUAUCAAGGUUAUCGUUAGAAUUUAUUGAUAUGAGACAAACUUUGUAUGUCACCAUGUCAAUGGAGGAACAGCAUGUCCAAUGUCACAGAAGCACAGAGCCCACCCAGGGACUCUCCCUGCCCUGGGAGCUCCCAGCUCUGGAGCACAGGAGGCCACACACCCAGCUGGGUGGCACUGGGGACAUUUCCUGGGCAGGAAUGCUCCAGAAAUACCCUGGCUGAGAGGAUUGCCAGACUGCAGCACCCAGCAGGGACCUGCUGGCUCUGACUCCAGCAGGGAAAGGCAGCUCACCCCAGGCCCCUGCAGUCACAGGGGGAAAAGAAAGCCGAACAGGAGGUGAGAUUCCAGGAAUCCCUGCAGGAGAUGAGAGCACUUGGGCCCUCUGGCUCCUCAGCCCUAAAGGGGCUCAGAGGAGCAGCUGGGGUGGGGACAGAUCCCCAGCAGGACAGCCCAGGCAUGGCUGGAGCCUUCCCAAGGAGCAGACACAGCCAUGCCAUGCUCCAGCCUGGCAUCUGCCCAUUCAGAAGCAGGGUUCUUCUUUUAGCACAAUUGUGCCUGUGUUGUAACCACUCAGACAUUCCCCUCUCAGCAGUGCCCUCCCUCAGCACAGCCAGCCUGUCAUCUAUGCUUGUGGCUAUGAUGAAAAUUAUCUUUAUCAUCUUUACUGGAAAUACAUUUUAUGCUGGAUUCUACUUAAAAAAAAAAGCCAAGUGCUGAGCUUUCAUCUCCUCCCAGCUUAUGAAAUAUUUGGUUUGGUCCUAAGUAUCUUGCUAAAUGAUUAGAGGGAAUAGCAGAGUAUUCCCCAGGCACCUGGUAAAUCCACAAUGGAUUUAUUGUAGAAACACACUAAAUUCUCUAACUCACUCCAAAUGGAUUUCAGAGCCCUCUAAAACCCUGCAGAGAAUGAGCUGUUUGUGACAGGACACACAAAAAGCAACCCCAAGUUCAAUGAGUAACCGAGAUAAAGGACAGGCCACAGCAGGGGACGUGCCAGCCCAGCCCCUGUGACAGGGCAGGGACAGCCUGGCCAUGGCACCAACCUGCUGCACACCUGGAGAGGAACCUCAGGCUCCAGACACACACGUGUGACCUGUGUGCUCCUCCUGUCCCUCUCCUGGGAGCUGUGACAAGUGACAGAGAGGGCUCUGCUCUCAGCCAUCUGGUUCCACCCAGUCUAAGUUCCCUCUCACAUUGAUUUAGAGAUCUCAUAUUGAUGGGUAAUUAUACAGGAUUAAUUGCACAUCAGUCCAUUGUGGCUACAAGUUCAUUAGGUUAAUAACUCUACAUAGUGACAGUAGUACAGUAUCAGCUACUUCUCAAUACAAACUCCCUACCCUAACCUUAAUUUGUAGGUCAGAGGAAGACCUUCUAACACAGUGACCUCCCAAUAACCUUUAACAUUCAUUUCAAAAUCAUUUUUUCUAGAAAACAAAAAAAAAAAAAAAUCCAGUGUGGGGAAAACGCACAUAUAUAACCAAAGCA